This 252-nucleotide ribosomal RNA is filed under the name uncultured bacterium. Its description in RNAcentral is "partial 16S ribosomal RNA". It matches the Rfam family "Bacterial small subunit ribosomal RNA", at positions 524 to 776 of the family's 1533-position model. The record is from RNAcentral.
UACGGAGGAUGCGAGCGUUAUCCGGAUUUAUUGGGUUUAAAGGGUGCGCAGGCGGCACGGCAAGCCGGCGGUCAAAUCGCGGGGCUCACCCCCGCCCAGCCGUCGGAACUGCCGGGCUAGAGUGGGCGAGAAGUGCGCGGAAUGCGUGGUGUAGCGGUGAAAUGCAUAGAUAUCACGCAGAACUCCGAUUGCGAAGGCAGCGCACCGGCGCCCUACUGACGCUCAGGCACGAAAGCGUGGGUAUCGAACAGG